This 503-nucleotide ribosomal RNA is filed under the name uncultured bacterium. RNAcentral's name for it is "bacterial SSU rRNA". It matches the Rfam family "Bacterial small subunit ribosomal RNA", at positions 28 to 517 of the family's 1533-position model. The record is from RNAcentral.
GAUGAACGCUAGCUACAGGCUUAACACAUGCAAGUCGAGGGGAAACGAUAUUGGAAGCUUGCUUCCGAUAGGCGUCGACCGGCGCACGGGUGAGUAACGCGUAUCCAACCUGCCCACCACUUGGGGAUAACCUUGCGAAAGUAAGACUAAUACCCAAUGAUAUCUCUAGAAGACAUCUGAAAGAGAUUAAAGAUUUAUCGGUGAUGGAUGGGGAUGCGUCUGAUUAGCUUGUUGGCGGGGUAACGGCCCACCAAGGCGACGAUCAGUAGGGGUUCUGAGAGGAAGGUCCCCCCACAUUGGAACUGAGACACGGUCCAAACUCCUACGGGAGGCAGCAGUGAGGAAUAUUGGUCAAUGGACGAGAGUCUGAACCAGCCAAGUAGCGUGCAGGAUGACGGCCCUAUGGGUUGUAAACUGCUUUUAUAAGGGAAUAAAGUGAGUCUCGUGAGACUUUUUGCAUGUACCUUAUGAAUAAGGACCGGCUAAUUCCGUGCCAGCAGCCG